AUGACACGACCCCAAGAUCCAAUCAGUUCAAGCAAUAUGGAAUCCUGGCCAAGAAGUACACCAAGUUUUCCUGGUUUGACCUCUUGCCUCUUCUGGAUAUUCAUGGAGGAGAGUGCUCUGGCUGUGAUACUGCUUGAUUCCAUUAGAUAUUAUUCAGCUAACUUGACUGUAUGGGUGAAUAUCUACUCACGCUGGGACAAUGAGCCUGUCUACAGAAAUUUGGAUAUUUUCCCAUGUUCUUCCGGCUUUAGUGGCUAGAACUUUGAAUGUAAUGCCACAGAUUGUGAAGGCUCAUUUUCCACCAUGGCAUCUGAAAAGUUGAGAAAAGUGGAGUGCAGCGAGGAAGAAAAAAGCAGAUGUUAUAGUGGAACAGACACAGAGGUGACAGAACAUCUCAUUGUGCCCUUGCCUCUCCGUACCUGGAUUGCACACCUCUGUUCUCCUAACAAUAAAUUCUUUUUUCAAGUCA
Molecule: long non-coding RNA, 469 nt
Filed under: Vulpes vulpes (red fox)
Lineage: Eukaryota; Metazoa; Chordata; Mammalia; Carnivora; Canidae
Description: lncRNA (ENSVVUG00000000249.1)
Source: RNAcentral